AUUUGGUUUUCCUUGUGAAGUUAAUGUAUUAGGUGUUUAGGUGUUGUGAGGUUGCCUUUAGGCUUGUUUAAUUGUUUCACAGAUGCUAAGACUAGACAUUACAGAUGGUUUGAAAUGCUAGAACAGAGAGAACGAAAAUAAGCACUAGAAUUUCACUACUAGUUUGGAUUGUGUUCUGGAAAUGUAAGUAGGAAUUAAAAAGUCGUUCAUCGAAACCAAAACUCACUCUUACCAGCAUGAUAUUGUGAUUCACCUUCAUUUCCCUUUUAAACCGUGAUAUUAUGAUUCACAUUUCCCCUAAUUCUUUUCGAUUCUUCUUCCUACAUAACAAACACAUGAGGGUUGGGGUAUGAUUCAUUCCAACAUCCCCACCAUGCACAAAUGUAUUUUACAUAAUGUAGCAGAUUCUUUUCAUUCGUAUCAACCAUUCUAAUUCCAGAAAUCAUCGUGCAAAGAGGAAAAUCAAAUCAUCUUGCCCUCCUUCCAAUAAGAUAUAGAUGAUGAAUUUCAGUCCAUCAAAAGUGCCCUUGGCACGUAUAGCUCCUUUGUUCCUUGGAAGUGAUUAUCCAUGGAGGCUAUGGUUGACAUCUACCGAGAAAGAAAUUGGUCAACCGAAAUGCUUCCCCAGUUUGAUACUCCAGCAAAUACAGGUACUUGGUGUGUAAUUUUUGUUUCACAAACUCAAUAAAUAUCUGUAUCCUGUGUCUAUUCCUAGGAGUGUUGAAAAGCCUCGCACCAUUUUGUCUAUUUCUGGCUUCUAAACAAGCAGCAAAUCUACGUACUCUACAGUGUUGUUGAAUCUCCAACGGGUGAAAAGGAAACCCACCAUGUGACACCUCCUAUUUAAUAGAUGAAAUCUUGAAAACACAACGUAGUCAACAUGGGACACUGCAUUUUAAUCAUCCCGUAUAUUUGCUUAAAAUAAAAUUUCAGCAUUAUGCCAAUAACAAAACCAGUAUGUGGUAUAUCUUUACUAAUUUUGUAGAAGACUCACUUCCAUCUAGAUCAAAAAAUAGUGUGGAGGGGGAGGAAAUGAAAAAGAAAAGAAAUUCAGGAGCAACUUCAAAUAAAUGAAAACAGUGAAUUUACUUUGCCUUCUGCUUGGAUUUGAGCAUCACGAACCCAACAAAUGUGCAUAAGAAGCAGAGAAGUGUCACUCCAGCGAAUACAGGUAUGAGUAUGGCGUAAUCUUGAGGCAGAAAGUACUUAUGGAUAAAGU
Molecule: long non-coding RNA, 1219 nt
Filed under: Vitis vinifera (wine grape)
Lineage: Eukaryota; Viridiplantae; Streptophyta; Magnoliopsida; Vitales; Vitaceae
Description: long non-coding RNA (VVIN_LNC000451)
Source: RNAcentral